RNAcentral lists this small RNA (771 nucleotides) under Pongo abelii (Sumatran orangutan). RNAcentral's name for it is "processed transcript". Lineage: Eukaryota; Metazoa; Chordata; Mammalia; Primates; Hominidae. The record is from RNAcentral.
CGUUCCGAACAUCUGUUUCUCCUCCCUCAGUAAAUACAGAUACGGAUGUAAAUAUGUAUAAUGAUCAAUUGCAUCUGCAAAGGAAUGCCCUGUGUGUGAUUCCUCAAGAUUUCUUUCAGUUGCUGCCAAACCUGACUUGGCUGGACCUCCGGUACAAUAGAAUUAAGGUGCUUCCUUCUGGGAUUGGAGCUCACAAGCAUUUGAAAACUUUGCUUUUAGAAAGAAAUCCUAUCAAAAUGUUACCUGUGGAGCUGGGGAGCGUAACCACGCUGAAAGCACUGAACCUAAGACACUGCCCUCUGGAAUUCCCUCCUCAGCUCGUUGUGCAGAAGGGAUUGGUGGCUAUCCAGCGCUUCCUGCGGAUGUGGGCAGUAGAACACUGUCUCCCCAGAAAUCCAACUUCUCAAGAGACUCCACCGGUUAGAGAGAUGACCCUCCGUGACCUCCCGAGCCCAAGAUUGAAGUUGUCUGGAGACCACGCGUCUAACGAAGGAGCUGUGAACGCUCAGGACCCAGAGGGGGCCGUGAUGAAAGAGAAGGCCGGCUUUCUCCUGUCUGUGGAAAAGCCAGACCUGAGUGAACUCAGGAAGUCUGCUGACUCCUCAGAGAACUGGCCUAGCGAGGAGAUCAGGCGCUUUUGGAAGCUGAGGAAGGAGAUUGUUGAGCACGUGAAGGCAGACGUUCUGGGAAAUCAGCUCUUACCGAGGGAAUUACCUCCAAAUCUCAAGGCGGCCUUGAACAGUGAGGAAGAACUGCCAAAGCCAAGACGGG